GUGUCAGCAGCCGCGGUGAUACGUAGGGUGCGAGCGUUAAUCUGAAUUACUGGGCGUAAAGCGUGCGCAGGCGGUUUUGUAAGUCUGACGUGAAAUCCCCGGGCUUAACCUGGGAAUUGCGUUGGAGACUGCAAGGCUGGAGUCUGGCAGAGGGGGGUAGAAUUCCACGUGUAGCAGUGAAAUGCGUAGAGAUGUGGAGGAACACCGAUGGCGAAGGCAGCCCCCUGGGUCAAAACUGACGCUCAUGCACGAAAGCGUGGGGAGCAAACAGGAUUAGAUACCCUAGUAGUCC
RNAcentral lists this ribosomal RNA (292 nucleotides) under uncultured bacterium. Its description in RNAcentral is "partial 16S ribosomal RNA". It matches the Rfam family "Bacterial small subunit ribosomal RNA", at positions 505 to 796 of the family's 1533-position model. The record is from RNAcentral.